UCAGAUUAUAGUCGGGCCUGACACACUCACAAGUCCCCGCCACUUGGAACCCCGGAUCAAGAACUAGGCGUGGCGGUGCGGGGCGGGGCCAGGGCAAUCCAAAUCCACUGCCGUCAAAGGCGUCGCACACUCCUUUGAAGCCAGAUCCGGAGGAUAGAGACCGAAUCUGACUGUCAGUCAGCCAGUCAGUCAGUUAGUUAGUUGGUUGGUAACUGGAAACUGCUUUCCACGCACCAACCUCCUUUUCGCUCCCCCAAUGAAAUCCACAGAUCAGUGAGCUGGAAACGUUAGUGGAUUAGUGGACGUGUGCAUAACGCCUAAUCGGAGUGGAUUUUGAAAAUGAUUAGUCAGGCCGACCAUGAUGGCGUCCCCUUGAGUGUCGCAAUCGCAAUCGCAAUAUUUGGAUUAUCAGAUAACCAGCAUAUAAUGAGAAUGACAGUUAAUUGGGAUUUUUAGUGGGUUGCAAUCGCGUCCAGAAAUCACGCUAUAAAGCGAUUAAGCACUUGUUCGUGUCCGAUCAGUACGAUUACAUCCAUUGCCAGCCGAGUGUUAUGUGUCAAUCACUCAUAUCAAACUGGGAAAAAAAGACUCUUCGGAGAACUUCAUAGCAUUAAACUCUUGAAAUGCAAUCGAAGCAGUUACGUUGGACUUUGGUAUUAAUUUUAGCUUUGGCUUUGGUUGUGGAGGGUUCCAUCCUUGGUUUCGGCACCAAGAAAUCGGAUAAGGCUCCAGUGAAAGUAGAAGGGCCAGAGAAUAAGGCCCCCCUGAACAAAAAGCUAUCGAAUGACUAUAUUAACGGAGUGCUGAGCAUACAGGGUCAAAUGCUUUUUAAUGCCGUAAAUAAGCCUUCAUCUCUUAAACUGUAUCGCAGUGCUCGGUAUAUGCAGUCGCCUCAGGACUAUCCCGAUCUCCUAGGAUUACAAUAAUAAAUCGAAUAUAAUCGAAACUUAUAUAUUUUACCAACUAAUAAAUGUAAUUAUGACUAUAU
Non-coding RNA from Drosophila melanogaster (fruit fly), 988 nucleotides. NCBI's taxonomy places the organism in Eukaryota, Metazoa, Arthropoda, Insecta, Diptera, Drosophilidae. The record is from Ensembl.